UUGUGACUGUUGCAGAACGUUCAGG
RNAcentral lists this non-coding RNA (25 nucleotides) under Mus musculus (house mouse). Lineage: Eukaryota; Metazoa; Chordata; Mammalia; Rodentia; Muridae. The record is from RNAcentral.